RNAcentral lists this ribosomal RNA (241 nucleotides) under uncultured Actinomycetales bacterium. Its description in RNAcentral is "partial 16S ribosomal RNA". It matches the Rfam family "Bacterial small subunit ribosomal RNA", at positions 89 to 334 of the family's 1533-position model. The record is from RNAcentral. Lineage: Bacteria; Bacillati; Actinomycetota; Actinomycetes; Actinomycetales.
ACUCGAGUGGCGAACGGGUGAGUAACACGUGGGUGAUCUGCCCUGCACUUCGGGAUAAGCCUGGGAAACUGGGUCUAAUACCGGAUAGGAGCCAUUUUUAGUGUGAUGGUUGGAAAGUUUUUCGGUGUAGGAUGAGCUCGCGGCCUAUCAGCUUGUUGGUGGGGUAAUGGCCUACCAAGGCGGCGACGGGUAGCCGGCCUGAGAGGGUGUACGGCCACAUUGGGACUGAGAUACGGCCCAA